UGGGGUUGAGCAAGAGAGCAUAGAGGAGACAACAGAGCCUUCACAAGAAGAAAAGCCUUUAGUGUAAACAUGGAGAGAGUAGUCUCACCUUCCUGGUGUCUGGCAGAGUGAGAGAGAGAGAGAGAGAGAGAGAGAGAGAGAGAGAGAGAGAGAGAGAGAGAGAGAGAGAGAGAGGACUGGGGAAAUGUUGACGUUUCUAAGGGCCAUCAGAAACCGCGCCGAGCUCUAACAGCACAGACGAAUGUGGGAAACGUGUGAUUUUAACUUCAGCUUAUGAUGUGACCAAAGAGAGCUUGGCAGAGCUGCCGUUCCCUCGCAGGGGCCGCGUGACCACGAACACGCCAGCGUCAGUGGUACGGCCUGCUGUGUGCAGGGGGACUCACGUGUAUUAUUCAUAACCACGUCCCCCCUGGGACAGCAUACACCUGCACAGGAUUUAGUGUUCGGUGUUUGUAUGUAUUUAAACCCCUGUCAGUGUGUGCUCCCUUGCUGGUCAUUGUCGCUACGUUUGUGUUAAUGUCUAUCUCUGUAACGUUAGUGUGUGUAGUCCCUUGUUAAAGUGUAUGUGUUCUUCAUUUAAUGUUAAAUGUAUAGUCAUGUGUACUGUAGAUGU
Electrophorus electricus (electric eel) is the source of this 613-nucleotide long non-coding RNA. RefSeq lists it as uncharacterized. Lineage: Eukaryota; Metazoa; Chordata; Actinopteri; Gymnotiformes; Gymnotidae. The record is from RefSeq and is a predicted model, not a curated record.